GUGAGGAAUAUUGCGCAAUGGAGGCAACUCUGACGCAGCCAUGCCGCGUGCAGGAAGAAGGCGCUACGCGUUGUAAACUGCUUUUAACCGGGAAGAAACCCCAGGACGUGUCCUGGGUUGACGGUACCGGAGGAAUAAGCACCGGCUAACUUCGUGCCAGCAGCCGCGGUAAUACGAAGGGUGCAAGCGUUAUCCGGAUUCAUUGGGUUUAAAGGGUGCGUAGGCGGAGCGUUAAGUCAGUGGUGAAAUCCUGCAGCUUAACUGUAGACUUGCAAUUGAUACUGGCGCUCUUGAGUGCGCUUGAAGUGGGCGGAAUGUGCCGUGUAGCGGUGAAAUGCUUAGAUAUGGCACAGAACACCAAUUGCGAAGGCAGCUCACUAAGGCGAUACUGACGCUGAGGCACGAAAGCGUGGGGAUCGAACAGGAUUAGAAACCCUGGUAGUCC
RNAcentral lists this ribosomal RNA (445 nucleotides) under uncultured bacterium. RNAcentral describes it as "bacterial SSU rRNA". It matches the Rfam family "Bacterial small subunit ribosomal RNA", at positions 354 to 796 of the family's 1533-position model. The record is from RNAcentral.